RNAcentral lists this non-coding RNA (30 nucleotides) under Mus musculus (house mouse). Lineage: Eukaryota; Metazoa; Chordata; Mammalia; Rodentia; Muridae. The record is from RNAcentral.
UCUGAGUAUCUUCUAGGGCCUUCUCCACUA